CUCUUCGGGGAUGAUUAAACCGGCGCACGGGUGAGUAACACGUGAGUGACCUGCCUUUUAGACUGGAACAACUUACCGAAAGGUGAGCUAAUGCCGGAUGAGUUAUAUAAGUGCAUGUUUAUAUAGGAAAAGUUGGGGAGACCUGACGCUGAAAGAUGGACUCGCGUCCCAUUAGCUAGUUGGUAGGGUAAUGGCCUACCAAGGCGACGAUGGGUAGCCGGCCUGAGAGGGUGGCCGGCCACACUGGGACUGAGACACGGCCCAGACUCCUACGGGAGGCAGCAGUGGGGAAUUUUGCGCAAUGCUCGUAAGAGUGACGCAGCGACGCCGCGUGAAUGACGAAGGCCUUCGGGUCGUAAAGUUCUUUCGACAGGGAAGAAAAUGCCUAUAAGUAACUGUGUAUGUAUUGACGGUACCUGUAUAAGCAGCCCCGGCUAACUCCGUGCCAGCAGCCGCGGUAAUACGGAGGGGGCGAGCGUUGUUCGGAGUGACUGGGCGUAAAGAGCACGUAGGCGGUGUUGUAAGUCAUUAGUCAAAGACUAGAGCUCAACUUUAGUAAGGCUAGUGAUACUAUAAUACUAGAGUAUCAGAGAGGAUUGCAGAAUUCCUGGUGUAGCGGUGAAAUGCGUAGAUAUCAGGAGGAAUACCGUUAGCGAAGGCGGCAAUCUGGCUGGAAACUGACGCUGAGGUGCGAAAGCGUGGGUAGCAAACAGGAUUAGAUACCCUGGUAGUCCACGCUGUNAACGAUGGAUGCUAGGUGUUGGGCUUUUANGUUCAGUGCCGCAGCAAACGCGAUAAGCAUCCCGCCU
RNAcentral lists this ribosomal RNA (809 nucleotides) under uncultured bacterium. RNAcentral describes it as "bacterial SSU rRNA". It matches the Rfam family "Bacterial small subunit ribosomal RNA", at positions 76 to 874 of the family's 1533-position model. The record is from RNAcentral.